AAAUAAGAUUUUGCCACCAGUA
This 22-nucleotide small nuclear RNA is filed under the name Arabidopsis thaliana (thale cress). RNAcentral describes it as "snRNA_06762". The record is from RNAcentral. Lineage: Eukaryota; Viridiplantae; Streptophyta; Magnoliopsida; Brassicales; Brassicaceae.